Molecule: unclassified non-coding RNA, 363 nt
Filed under: uncultured fungus
Lineage: Eukaryota; Fungi
Description: sequence contains ITS1
Rfam family: 5.8S ribosomal RNA (bases 1-105)
Source: RNAcentral
GAACUGCGAUACGUAAUGUGAAUUGCAGAAUUCAGUGAAUCAUCAAAUCUUUGAACGCACAUUGCGCUCUCUGGUACUCCGGGGAGCAUGCCCAUUUCAGAAUCAUUUUAAAGUCUCACCCGUUCACGGGUGGAAGCUGGGCCUUUUGGGCGCGCCCAAUGGUCUUAAAUGAAAUGUACGGUUGCUUCGACUGGAGGCAGUUGACGGCCAAAAGUGCAACAGAAGUUAAUUCUAUUUCGCUUUGGGGUUGACUAGCGUCCGUGGACGGUGGCCUACUUAGCAAUAAUCGGUGGGGACGCACCCGGUUGGGGACGUUCCCGCAAAACUGGUCUGAAAUUGGGCAAGAAAACCCGCUGAACUUAA